CAUAUGAUUGACCAUUGCCAAUUUAUUUGUGAAAAAUAACUUAGUCUACCAAUGGUCGUCUAUGAUUUAACAAAAUAUGGCGGCUGUCGUAGCAACAGCCGAUAUGACGAUUCAAAAGAAUUCUCAGAUUUUAGUAAAUGUUGAAGAAGCGCUAGCUGAUUUAAUUGUUGUAUCGUACUGCACUGACGAUAAAAAGUUCCAAGGUGUGCUUCUGGACUCCAACAAAGGUAACUUGCCUUUUGGAGUGUAUAGCCUCAACCCAGCAUUCUCAAAACAGGCUGUGCCUACAAAUGAAAGCGAUAAAUUGCAUUCCGUUAGUCAAAGGUUCACAUACCAAGAACCCCAGUAUGAGGGAGAAAACUCACAAAAAUCAAAAAAGCCUGGUCCUAAGGGUAAACAGCAGCAAAAGAUGACCGUCCGACUAAGACCUCGGAAGGUCUUAUGUUCAAAUUGCCAAGGGAUAUGUAAUGAGAACAACGAAAACGUAGACGUGUCUAAAAAACGUAAGAUGGAAUCUGAUGACGAUACGUCUCGCCUCUCUGAGUCAUCAAGGACAGAAAAAAAGUAUUUGAUGGGUAGCAUGCUCAUACCCAAGCUGUCCAGGCUACAACCAAGCGAAAUCACAAGUGCUGUGAGAGGGGCACCAAAAGUUUCCAACAAGGCUAGUGAAAAACAAAUUAAAAGUGAGAAAUCUAGUAAUGAGACAGUAACACAGGAAUUGGCUUUUGUCAGUGUUUCUGACGACUUGGACGCCGAUAAAGAAGAAGAUAUGAAAGACGAAAAUGAUAUUUCUUUCAGCUCUAUGUUCUCAAGUGCAAAGACACUUAAAAUAUGUUUUGGGGAAGGUGAAGGGACAGUUGUGAAAAUACCACCACUUACUGGCGACUUCAAUGAAGACUCAGGUGUAUCUUGUGACAUGGGGAAGCCAACGAAACCUGAUUCCAAAGCAGCUAAGAAGGCACUAAAGAAAGCUAAAAAACAGGCAAAGAAAACUAGCUCAGUAGAAAAAAGUCAAAGUAUGCAAUCACCCAAACAUAUAGGAGCGUUAUCACCUCAUAACAAUGCCUCCAGUCCAACACUAGAUCCUUUAGAAAAGAAACACAAGCAUAAAGUAAAACACAAAAAGAAGUACAAAAAUCAGAAGAAGCGUGAUGAGAACACAAGUAAAUGUACUGACAGUGAAUCUGUGGACUAUUUUAGUGAUAUUAAAGAGCAUUGUAUGAACCAGAAGUUGUCAAUAAGCUUACGAAGAUUAAGUAGUAAUUCACAUGAGAAGCAAAUUGAGAAUGAUCCAAUAGAAAGUGGUUCGGAUGACUGCGACAGUGAAAUGGUGCCCGAUUUCCCUACAAAUGGUACGGAAGGUGUUGGUGGUAGGUUACUGAGGGUGUCUCCAGGGGAUGUGGUGUGGGGUAAGGUGGUAGGGUUUCCCUGGUGGCCGGGAAGGGUUCUCAGUGUCACACCCACGUCAAGGGCACAUGUGGCUUGGUAUGCUUCAACCACAUCGUCAUUAAUGCCAUGUGAUAGCUUGAGUCCAUUUUUAGAAGAUUUUAAGAUACGCUUCUUAAAGAAAAAACGGGGACCAUACAAAGAGGCUGUGAAACAAGCUACAAUCGAAGCUAAGAAAAAUGAAUCUCACGUAAGUGAUCCGCUUGCCAGUCCCACGCACACCCUGGCAACUGUCUCACCCCGACCCAUCGAUGUGUUCUCCUAGACGUAAGAUGCAUCCGAAUUUAUUCAAAGUCAUUGUGAUAUUUAAUAAUUACUUGAAUUGUCUGCACAAAUAGGUUCUUAAUACUAUUUAGUUGUUGCACUGAAAAUUUAUUUUUUAUGUCUUGAGAUAAAAUUGUUAUUUUUGUAUAGACUUCUUGAACAUAUAAACCAAAUUACCAACUACCUCUUUAGCUGUAAAAGAUAGGUAAUCUCAAAAAUAUAUGUAUUUUACAUUGGUUUCUUGCUUUUGGGAUAAGCAGUUCUAAUGUUGCAAUUUUUUUUCAAAUUAUAUCUUUAAUCUUAUUUUGUUAUUUUGUAAUUUAAGAUUUCUAAUCAAGAACAGCAAUGAUAUCUUUUAAAUUAUUUCAAAAGUGACUUCAUUUUCAGUGUAGCAACUAUUCAAUUUAAAUGUUAAAAAUAUAAACCAACAAUUUAAACAAGUUGGUUUUCUUAUAAGGCUGGAUUAUCAUUAUCUUUGGUCAUUGCGAGAACUUGGCAGGUAUCCUAAUAAUUCUCACCAGACUAAAUGGUGGCUCGCAACUCACUUCCGAGAGGACAAAAGCUUUCGCGUACAUCCACUGCCUGCUGAUACCUAAGGGACUAUGCACACCACGUUUUUUAAACGCGCCGUCGCGUCGACGCGCGUUUGUAGCGAUACAGACGCGAUACGCACGCAAAUCAGGACUGUGCUGCAGGAUAAAAACUUGGUGUGCAUAGGCCCUUAAAUGGUGUACACCCCGCGCGAUGUUCCGAAGCCCCAUUAAGUUUGGCCCAUACUAAACCAAUAUUUCAGACACAAUGGACUGCAAAGGUAGCAUUCUCUAGUUUGGCUUUCAGUGUAAGAAAUUAAAAGUGUGAAUAGAUAUUUUGCUGUGUAUUCAAAGUGUUCACUAUCACAAAUAUUGUUCAUUACUGUUGGACUGAUAUAUUACAAGGCACUAAUUCUAUGUAGAAUAAAAGUUGAUAGAUACUACCAUUUAAAAGCAGACAAGUUAUCAGAAUUGAAUUUUAAUUGAAUAACUAUGAAAAAGUACUAAUAUAAGUGUGAUAAUUAUUUUAUUCUGGCAAAUUCUAAUUAUAAUCUUAUGUGUGUAAAAUUUCCAAUUUUACAUUAUAGAAUUGAAAAGACGAUAUAAAAUGGUUUAGUUCAUGGGGCCCUUUUACUUUUUACGAAAACAAUAGUCAUAAUUUGUGGUAUAUUUAGUAUUGUUUAAUUGUACUUAUGAGUGUGCAAUAAUGAAUGAUUAAAAUAUUGGUUUGCACUGUUAUUUGAAAACAUAGUCUCGUAUAUUUUAAUGAUAAAAACAAAAGUUAGUUUGAGUAAUUUGCUCAUUAAUCAAAUAAAGGACAAUGGGCGAUUCCGGUCCAAAUGUCCACCACGAACGAGACCUAUAUGGCUAGAUAGCCCGUUAAAUAUAGAACAUUUUUUGUUAUGAAAGUAAAAAACAAUAUAAUGCCAGAAAAAAGUUAUAGCAAAAUCUAGUAAAACAUUUUAUAGAUUUUUUCAAUGUCAUUUUUCAAUUUCCUUUCGAUUUUCGUACUUUCUGUAACUUCUGUCAAAAUAUAAUCAUUCAUUAUUAGAGAGGAGACACCACCAGUUACUUAAAACUUUCUUAGAUCCAGGAACCGCUGAAUAUAUUCAAGCACUUCUGGCGCCUCAAUUGGUUAGUGAUUCGUACAUCCAUCGGGCAAAAAGUAUGAGCUGUUUAUAUGCAAAUGUGUUUUAUUCAUCUUAGUUUUAGAUAAAGUGCGGAAAUGAAAGUGGAAUAAAAUAAAAAAAAUAUAAUGAUAACAUACAAAAACUACCGAAAAUUAAGAAUACAUUUUUGGCUAUAACUUUUUUUUGGCAUUGUUUUUUUUUUAGUUUCUUAGUAAAAGUUACUCUAAAUUAAGUGGACUGUUUAAUUAUAUAGGUCGCGUUCGUGGUGGACAUUUGGACCAAACUUCAUACAUUCUUGCCCAAUCUCCUUUGUGUUAAUACUGAAAAAUUAAAAUGAUUAAAAAUAAAAUUAAUCUAAAUAUAUAUUGCACCAUUUUUACCAAGACUACGGUAAAGUACGUAAAGUUGGUAAUUAUGUAACUGAGUUCUCAUAGGUAUUUUAGAUCCUAUCUGUAAUCUUUCGUUCUGAACAGAAAACUCAAAAUUAUUUCCUAUAGCAAAAAAAGGUUGAAAGUCAGUGCCAUAGACAGUACAUUUCUGAAAUACUAUUCACCCAAAUAUAAAAAAGUGUUCAACAUAAAAAUCCUAUUCUGGUAUUACUUACAAAAUAAUGUUCUAUUUUCAUUAUAUUUUUGUUUUAAUAUUAUUGUUUCCUGUUUAUAGUACUGCUGAAAUAAUGACUGAUGUCAAUAUUUCGUAUUAUGUUGCAGUUAAACUAUGUUACAAACUUAUGGCCAUUCCUUUUAUUGUCUGACUCUUGGUUUUGACUCUAAUUGUAUAAUAAAUACUGUACUUUUUAAUACACAAUAAAUCUGUAAAUAUUAUUUUUAUAGUUUGAUAUUAAAACCAAGAGAAAGACUUUGUUAUUUACUUUUUAAGAAUUUUUAAUUGCUGCAGAAAGAUUUGUAUCAUUGGUUACUAUAUUAUGAUAUUUUAUAUUUUAUGGUUUUAUGAAACAUUAAUAACUGAAGUGCUGAUAUAUUUCUGCAAAUUUUUUUCUGUAUGUUGUAUGAUUUUAGGGAAAAGUUACUCGUUUUUUAUUCAGGGCUCUUUUUGUUUUGGUAACAUUCAUAUAACAUUUUUUAAAUGCUGUUUAAAUUAAAGUCGUUUAAAAUUAUAUCUCUAACUUUUCCCAAAAUGUGGAGGUAUAUACUUAGAGGCACUUGAAAAAAGGGAAUUCUGCCAAAGAUGAAUGAUCUUUGUCCAACUUAUAGUGAUUUAACUUAUGGUCAAAACUAUUAUAAAUAAUUGUGUACAUAUUCAGAAUAAAGCCGUAUUUUAUUAGUGUAGUCUGCUACAGUGUAUCAUCUUAUCAUUACAGGAAAAUGUAUUUUUAAAAUAUAAAUUCUUCACAAAAUUA
This is an RNA transcript of Helicoverpa armigera (cotton bollworm), 4730 nucleotides long. It is a transcript of the gene named PWWP domain-containing protein 2A, with no coding region annotated. Lineage: Eukaryota; Metazoa; Arthropoda; Insecta; Lepidoptera; Noctuidae. The transcript is spliced from 4 exons. The record is from RefSeq and is a predicted model, not a curated record.